AAUGAAGUGCCUGAUUAAAGGAUUAUUGUGAUAGAAUAAAUAAUGUAAAAAUAUUACCUUCAUUA
RNAcentral lists this transfer RNA (65 nucleotides) under Tryonicus mackerrasae. Its description in RNAcentral is "tRNA-Ile". Lineage: Eukaryota; Metazoa; Arthropoda; Insecta; Blattodea; Tryonicidae. The record is from RNAcentral.